RNAcentral lists this long non-coding RNA (515 nucleotides) under Homo sapiens (human). RNAcentral's name for it is "HSALNT0062537". The record is from RNAcentral. Lineage: Eukaryota; Metazoa; Chordata; Mammalia; Primates; Hominidae.
GCAGGACAGAGUGGGAUGGCGUGAGAUUUCGUCACAUUACUCAGAACAGCAUGCAAUUUAAAACAUGAAUUGCUUUCCAUUUAAAAAUAAAGGAAUUUGAUUAUGCGUUCUCUAAAGCUUCCAAAAGGAUCCAGUCCCAGAUACGUAUUACAUUUAGUCAUCAUGGCUCCUUCGUCUCCUCUGCACAAGGGGAAGCAGCCUGUGGCCCUCACCAGAUGCAGAUAUCCAAUCUUCCAGCAAACAGAAUCGUUUGUGUGUCAAAGUGAUAGUCAAAAUGCGGGUACACAGAACUCAGAUAUACUGCUAUGGUGAAGCGGCUCGACACUUUCAAGUCUCUUACAAUUGAGUCUUCUAGAAACUAUGAUGAUAUCAAACCUGUAGGUCAUGAAGAGUCUACUACACUGAGCUUGCACACCACAUCAGAAAAUCAAAUUUUCUGGGGAAGAACCCAUCAAAAUUCACGGAGUAAUAUUGCUGUCUUUUCCUGUAUUUGAAAUAAAUGUUCUUCUCUAACA